AAUGUACUCUCUUCGUCCUAAAAUUAUUGUUUUAUGUUUGUUUAAAAAUAGAUGUAUCUAGAUACUAAAGCAUGACUAUAUACAUUCGUAUCUACACAAAUCUAAGGCAAUAAUUUUGGAAUGAAGGGAGUAGUUG
Hordeum vulgare subsp. vulgare (domesticated barley) is the source of this 136-nucleotide non-coding RNA. NCBI's taxonomy places the organism in Eukaryota, Viridiplantae, Streptophyta, Magnoliopsida, Poales, Poaceae. The record is from Rfam.